GGCUACGCGUAAACGCAGCCGCGGUUCGCGUCGAGUGUUGAAUGCACUCUCGCGGCCCCGAUCCAAUGCAGUUCCUGUGUCCUCGCGGGGAUCGUAUCGGCGAGAUCGUUAGCCGAGCCAUUCGCUUCGUUGAUCCACUCUGACGCGCUUGAUCCUCGCUGAGGUCGGGAGCAACGACGAGUCACAUCGAGGAUUCUUAGUGGUCAUACUUAUCGGAGAUGGCGUUAUUCCGUAAAUUUUUCGUCGUUCCGAGUGCUGAGAAAAUACCACGACAGAGUUCGAGUAAUUAACGAAUCAUGCUCGUACGAAGCUAAAGAAGAACACCUGGAGGAAAGUAAACGAAAGCGCCCCGAUCGAUGAAGGAUCGGUUUGACGAGCACACAGCUGCGCAUGCGCGCAAUCGGAGCGACACGUUUGAAAUAAUUCAACAACCAAGUCACGAGAAUCACGAGAUCUCGAGACAAGAGCUGGCGGCAAUCCGUGAAGGCUCAGAUACGACGCAUUUCCAUCACAACCGAGAUGAUUCCUGUGAGAUAGAUCAGGAACUUCGCCUCUGACCUGAGUCACGAAUGAGGUUAAGAAUGUUGCGGAUCGACGAUGCAAAGAAUGUAUUAUCUUGGUUCACGCACACACGCCUGUACAUCGAAUCCACCUUCGUUGAUUUACAUCUUCGAGGAAGCAACAGGAUGAUCCACGGAAACAACCUUAUUUAUGGCGAGAGAAACACAGAAGUACGUGUCUCUGGCUGCAAUUUUUCAACCACAGUUUCUCUUGUUUCUUCUCUGCGGUUACGAUAUAACAAGCAUUUCCGUCGAAAGGAUACAUGUGGUCAGAAGGACGUAUAUUAUGAAAAUGUUUCGAGUAGAAUGAUGUUGUAUUCCACGAACUUUUCGAGUGGUUGUCAGAAAUAAGGAACAGAUUGAAUAUUUUAAAACGGAAGAGUUAUAUGUCUGAAAUAAUUUUAUUGAAAAAUUAUCGAGGUAAAGACAAUGUAUCUCGCGCUUUUUUUGUGAAGUAUAUUUAAUAGAAAAUUUCCGAGAUCUACAGUCAUGUACUUUAUUCAGCCAAAUUAAUUUUUUAAUCACUUCACUUGGGUUUAGUUUUUCAUCUCAAAUUUUAUCUCGUGCACUAAUAAUAUUAAAACUUUUUAUGGCUUCUUUUCAUGUAGCUACUAGAUUCUCAUGUAAAGAUUUUUUAUUUCCUAAUGUGUAAUGAAAUAUUCUCUAAAUACCUACAUCUACAUUUAUGCAAGUUUCAUCACAUCGUGAAGUAAUUUUUCAACAAAUACUCGAGACAAGAUUUUUGUUGAGACAAGAUAAAAAUACAGGGAAUAUAUAAAACGUGAAAAAUAUAAUUCUGAUGCAUAAUACGUUGAAAUUUCUCUGGUCCCUCGUGUUUUUCUUCUAACUUCUACUAUUAUAUUUUAAAAAACGGAGAAGUUCAUCUCAGCAACCUCGAUACCGUUACCAUUCUCGUCUUGCUCCUAUAAUUCGAUGAUGACAGUUAUUAAACGAAUUACUACUACUAAUUCACCUCGCAAUGCCGCGCGUAAAUCGUCAUUCCCUCGAAAUGUUUUCAAUUACCGUCGCGAUUAGGCGUGAUCGUCGUGGCAAACAUUCUCACGUGACCGUAAUGAACAUCUUGAUAGCAUUCAUCGUUCAAUUUCCCAUGGAGAAAGGAACAAGGAAUCGCGACAACCGUGACAACGAACCAUAAUAUCGUUACUCGCGAUCCGAUUUAACUAACGUGUACAGUAAAUUGCUGACCUAUCCGACUAUACACGGUAAAUUUUGCUCCCUUGAAACACCGGUCGUUACCGUGUUUCUUUUUCGUCCUAUACAGUCAAGGAUUGCCAAUUGCCUAAAAAUCUCGUAGCUUGUAGGAACUGCUAACACGGUUAUGAUUCGCC
Long non-coding RNA from Bombus terrestris (buff-tailed bumblebee), 1909 nucleotides. RefSeq lists it as uncharacterized. The record is from RefSeq and is a predicted model, not a curated record. Lineage: Eukaryota; Metazoa; Arthropoda; Insecta; Hymenoptera; Apidae. The transcript has 3 exons.